UUAAUUAGGCUAAUUCAUUUUUCAUUAUUAUUAUUAUUUUUUAAUUACAAUUAUCCCUUCAUAAUUAGCCAUUCAUGUUUCGUGUUUAUAAAAAUAUUACAUUUACAAUUUUAGCAUUCAUAAUAUUAGUCGAUUGUGUUUUGAUGGCAGGUUUGAUUAUUACCAAGUUAUCUCUGUACUGUUUUAGCAACAUUAAGUAAAGUAACUAUACAGUACUGUAGCAGAUACGAUGGUUACCAUGGUGAAUGUUCAUAAGGGAGGCGCGCGCAACUAUGUGUAUGCAUUACAUCACUUCAAAUUCGGUCUCUAUUCAUUUCUAUAGCCAUACCUAACUAAAGUAGUAACAUAUAUACAAAUUUGUUAUUUAUAUAAUACAUCGAAAUAUGCACUAAAUUUGAUGCAGAGCGUCAACAUUUUAACGUAACUUUAAAUGGGAGGCGUGGUCGCUCUCUCCUACCCCGCCCCCCUCCGACGUCAGAGGCGUCGUGUGAAUUUACCGCUAUCAAAAAGGCCUUAAAACUCGAUUCCACCCCCGAAAAAUACCAACGGGCUGCUGUUGGUCAUUUCGCAAUCUUUUGUUUCUGCAUCACCAGAAAAUGUGUUACGGAAUUUGCGCAUAUAUCUGCCCGACUGAAGGGGCAUUACAGGGUGCAAAAUCACUCGAAUGGGCCAAUGAACACCUCCAGUGUGGGGUUUUAUUGCCCCCUCCUAAAGCAUUUGGUGAGGAUGAAUGGGAAGCCAUAUUCUCACUGACUUAACGAGGAAACACAUGAAGCCUUUUAGUCAUUCUCGCCCAUAAAUAUAAUGCGUAACAUAGGCGACAUAAAGGACAUUUCUUAUUCCUUCAGCCCCUGGUUGCAGACUCUGGAAUCCUCUCUGCUCAGCAGUUAUUGAAGUGAGGAGAAGGUACAUCUCCAUGGCAACCAGUGGUGCAGACACGUUGAAAAGCUGUCGUCUCUUCUGGUGUCUGCAGAGGAGGAUCAAAGCAAAACUCGCAGCCAGAGAGAGAGAGAGAUGGAGAGAGAUUUUGGGGUGAACUAGAGGACGCCGUCUUUGUAGCAAACCAGGGUAACCCAGUUGCCGCUGUAUUGAAGGCAGUAUAUUUCUCUGUAAACAUAUUCAAUUAAGACAUCAAACUUCAAACCGUACGAUGAAAAAGAAUGUCAAUGAGAGAAAAAAGGGUUUGGGGUCAUACUGAGUGCUUCUGCUUCUGUUCUAGGAUUCAAAAGCAGACUUCUUUUGAUGAAAUAAUCAUCGCUUGGUAGAAGUGCAAGUUGUGGUCCAGACGCUCACGGAGAUGCAGCUGAAAUUUAAUGAGUUGGGGAAAAUUGCUGACAUUUUU
Long non-coding RNA from Paramisgurnus dabryanus, 1342 nucleotides. RefSeq lists it as uncharacterized. NCBI's taxonomy places the organism in Eukaryota, Metazoa, Chordata, Actinopteri, Cypriniformes, Cobitidae. The record is from RefSeq and is a predicted model, not a curated record.